GCGCGAUCUCCGUGUAGACGCUAACAGCAGCCGCUGCACAAGCAACAGGCAACAAGGCGUUUGCAUCCAUGGUAUUGAAACGCAUCUCCCAGCUGGAAACUACCUGGGCACUAUGCUGAACCUCUGGGGCCAACUCCACUGGAAGUUCAGAGAGUGGUAACAGGGGAGGCCGUCCUCUGUGUAGCUCCCAUCUUUGAAUCAACCUCCCUAUUGGAGCCUGAUGCUAAAUGUGCUAUCUUUUCAGUGCUGGGUCAAGACAGGAUUUUAUCCAGAAGUCUGCAAAGUUGGGCACAUGAACAGGCAGAGUAAUGAAUUAGGCCCACCCUGAUGUAUACUCACAUUCAGUUAGUGUUAUGAGACUGAAUCAAGAAGAAUAUUACCAUCUAUAUGUGCUUGAG
Varanus komodoensis (Komodo dragon) is the source of this 398-nucleotide long non-coding RNA. RefSeq lists it as uncharacterized. The record is from RefSeq and is a predicted model, not a curated record. The transcript has 3 exons. Lineage: Eukaryota; Metazoa; Chordata; Lepidosauria; Squamata; Varanidae.